This is a long non-coding RNA of Cryptotermes secundus, 599 nucleotides long. RefSeq lists it as uncharacterized. The record is from RefSeq and is a predicted model, not a curated record. NCBI's taxonomy places the organism in Eukaryota, Metazoa, Arthropoda, Insecta, Blattodea, Kalotermitidae. The transcript has 3 exons.
UCGCAAUAAAUGUAUACGUUUAAUAAGUACUGGGUCGUGAAUCUCGUGAAUGAUUCAUUCCUAGUGUCGUAUCUCAUAUACUUUUUUCUUUUCACUUAGGUAUUAUUUUAAUUCUUGUAUUGUGGUUUUACUCAGGUCUGUCCCGUAGAGUUAGGACGGUGUAUCUUUUCAGUCUGUGUGUAGUUUCUGUAUGGUCUAGUACAGCCAUGUCCAACUUCAAACAGGCUGUGAUCGACUUUUUAGUGUCAUAACCGUAAAAACUGGCAGUGAUCUACAAUCCCGUCAUAUCGUCAUACGUCGCUUUAAGCAAAAAUAUUGGUAAAAGUGACACGACACAGGAUGUUUGUUGUAAAAACAAAAUACAUUGAAAGCUUAUGAGAUGACCAAAAAUCGUCCCGCCAUCGACGCCUUCGACAUGCCUGGCCUAGUAGAGAAGGAAGCUUGAGGACCUGCAGGAGGAGUUAAAGUACCUUAAGCAGACCAGUGAAUUGACUAUCACCAUAAUGGAAUGCAGAGUAUCUCAAAUGGAAGAGAGAGUCGAUACCAUCCUUAGGGAACGGGCUCAACUGUGGACAGAAAUUAGAAAACUGCAGGAGCAG